RNAcentral lists this small RNA (29 nucleotides) under Bombyx mori (domestic silkworm). RNAcentral describes it as "ovarian small RNA-3076". The record is from RNAcentral. Lineage: Eukaryota; Metazoa; Arthropoda; Insecta; Lepidoptera; Bombycidae.
UAGGAGUGACUCACGCAAACCAGGUGCGC